RNAcentral lists this ribosomal RNA (426 nucleotides) under Triticum aestivum (bread wheat). RNAcentral's name for it is "partial small subunit ribosomal RNA". Lineage: Eukaryota; Viridiplantae; Streptophyta; Magnoliopsida; Poales; Poaceae. The record is from RNAcentral.
AUGGAGGUCCCGGAAGAUCGUAGAGUUCCUUUGGUCGCAUACAAGCUGAAAGGAGUAGCCGCACCAUGGUGGCAUCGCGUUCAAGAGGAGCGCAGGCUGAGAGGAGAUCCUCGUGUUAGAACUUGGCGACAAAUGAAAGGCCUCUUGAAAGGGAGAUUUUUGCCCGCUGAUUAUGACCAGAUCCUAUUUAUCCAAUUUCAAAAUUGUGCUCAAGGAAAUAGGACUAUUUCAUAUUACACGGAGGAGUUUCUAAGGCUACAAGUGAGGUGCAACCUUGCUGAAACUGAAGAGCAACAAGUUGCAAGGUACAUCAAUGGUAUCAAUGAUGCUAUUCAAGAUCGAUUGAUGAUGCAACAAAUCUGGUCUGUUGAUCAAGCACAAGCUCUUAAAGGCCGAGAGGUUUGUGAGGAUGAGAAAGACAACUAA